Molecule: long non-coding RNA, 28783 nt
Filed under: Populus trichocarpa (black cottonwood)
Lineage: Eukaryota; Viridiplantae; Streptophyta; Magnoliopsida; Malpighiales; Salicaceae
Description: long non-coding RNA (PTRI_LNC002664)
Source: RNAcentral
CUUUGUACCAGUAUAGAGAAAGAAUUGUGGUGAGCCAUUUGGGUUGAUCCUAACUGAAAAGUCUCCAAUCCCAGGGUCAUCAGCUGAUCUCCAUGAUGUUAGGAACCGAUCAGUUCCUAAUUUUCGAUCCAGCCCCAGUUUCAUUCCAGGUAGCUGUAUGUUAGUAGGAUAAUCGAAGCUUUGCCAUACAAUUUUCCUGCUUCUUUUCCUGACCAAUAUCAAAUUUCCUGAAUCCAAGAGUUGAGCUUCACAAGUAUCAUUUUCUUCCACUGAAACAUUUGGAGACCACACAGGAAGCUUUUGGUCAUCGUUACCAUAGAGAACGAGGUUUCCAUAUUGGUUUAUAAAGAGAAAUCCAGAGGAACCAAUGAUUGGAUGGUUCCUGUUUGCAACCCACACCACAGUUUGUUCUGGUACUUUAUGGUACCAAAUUCCAAGAUAUCUAUUGCUAGAACUACCUGGACUGAAAAAUCCUAGUGCAAAAUUAUUUCCUUCGGAGAUAAGAACGUCACCUUCUUUAAUGGUUUGGUUCGUCUUUAAGGAGUCUAGGGAUGUACAAGAUGAGAAAUGGAGCAUUAAAAGAGAAAAAAGCAGGAACAGUUUUUCAGCUUCCAUGAUGGGGUAAAGUGGAUCUUGGCUUUUGGAAAGUGUCAAAUUUUGCUUUGUGGAGAAUGGAUAUGGCCUUCAGACAAGUCUCCAGAGAAGUUGCGUGACGGAAUUAGGCAUCUCUUUAAUGAGUUACUCUUUUCAACCUUCAAAGUCUAGGCAAUGACUUGUUUUUGUUAAAAUAUCAAUGUAGAUUUUUUGGAAACGACACCGUCCUCUAGUUUUAGAAAUAUGUAGUAGGUUGCAGACACAUACAAAAACAACAUAAAAAAGACAAUAAACAUAAAGACCAUAAUAAUUAUAAUUCAAACUUUUAUUAGUCAAUAUUUUUCUAAACAAAUUUAAAUAUUAAAGCUUUUAAUAAAUCACCAUAAACAAAACUUAAAAAUUAAUAAAAUAUUUCUAAGUAAAUAAAAAACAAAUUUAAAUCAACUUGGAAAAUAUGACAUUUUCAAAAUAGUAAUUUCUAGUACUAGUUUGGAGGCUUUAACGAGCUUAGAUGCCUUCAUAAAUCAAACCCUAUACAAAGAUCAUGGCUUCUAGAAAUAAAAUUUAUGUUCAUUAUUUUAAGGUCAUAUGUUGGAUAAAAAUCUCCUAAAUCAGUCUUCUCGUGUUGGAAAUAACUCGUCUUCAAGUUCAAAUUGUUCUUGUUUUGACCUCAUGAAUGCUCAAUCAAAGCUCUAAAACUCCCUUCCUUUCUUCCCUUAAGGUAUAUAACAAUAUUAUAUAUCAACUUAAGUUCUUUAUUAAUAUAUGUUGUAUCUAUAUAACUUUUGAACAAUUCUACCUUUGUGAUAAUAAUAAACUUAUAAUUAAAAGGAUCAACAUAACCUAAAUCAAUAAUUUAAUUUUGUUACUUUGCACAUAAUUUCUAACCUAUCAAUAUGAACACCAUUGAUGACAUUAUUGCUACUUUGCAAUCAUUGUUUAUGCUAUUAUUAUUAUCAUAAGUUUGGUUAGGUGAUCAUAUAUAUAUAUAUAUAUAUAUAUAUAUAUAUAUAUAUAUAUAUAUAUAUAUGAUUUUAGUGUUCUUUGUUUUUUUUUCACUUGGAUCGUUUUUUAGAACUUGAUUUUGGUUCUUGAGAAAUAAUUAGAGUUGUCAGUGUCACGCAAAAAAAUAAGGAAGGAUUUGAUCUUCCAUGUGUUUGGUCUAACAAAUCUAAGCUAUGUGGCUUUCUAACUUCUUUUUUUUUUUUAUGUGUUUCUUGUGCUAUGUUGUUGAUUCCUCUUUUUGUUCCAUGAUCUUAGGAGGUUUUUAAAUAUUGUAAGGAUCUCUUGCUUUCUCAAUUUAUUAUAUUUUGUUGCGCUCUAUUUUUUUUUUUGGCAUAUAUAUUGUGUUUGACCAUAGCAUGUGUUGUUAUUUAUUUUUGGACCUCACAUAAACAUACAAAAUACAAAAAAAAAUUAAAAAAAUGGAAAACAAAUAUACAUAAGUGGGAAGAACAUGAAAGAUAUCUAGAAAAUUGUCACAGACUAGUAGGGGAGAAUCAAAAUAUUCAAAGUUAAAAAAUUGACAGUUCAAUUUUGAAUCAUGAAAGCCUUAUUAACAAGAAAAGUUCAAUUUGAGAAGAAAUAUUCAAAAUUAGAUGUUUAAUAACUCAAUUGAAAAUUUUCAAGGUUUAAUUGUAUUUAUUGAGGGCUUAAUUGCAAUAAAAAUUAGUUUUAAAGUUCAAUUUGGACUUUAAUGGAAAGAAAUUGAAGUUUGGGGGUUGAAUUGUAAUUUUAAAAAGCUAAUUUAGUUAGUUAAAAACAUGACAUGACAUCAUUAAUAUGAUGCGACAGAUGGAGUGAUGGUGCACCCUUCCUGUUGUAACCCAAUUUUGACCCAUUAGCUUUUAAAUUUAAUUUUACAGGGUUUAAAAUUUAAAAUUAAAAAAUAAGAGAUUUAUUUCGAUGAAAAGUGUGAUUUGUCAACUUGCAUGAAAACUAGAGACUACAAUGUGCUUUUGUCAUUCUAUCCUUAUCUUUAAGAUAAUCCUUGUCUUCAAGAUAAAAAUAGUUAUCUGUUUUCAAAUUUGAUUCUUAAUCAAAUUCAAACUUUAAAGAAGAGAAUGAGUUUAAUUGAAACUUUGUUUCUCACACGCGAAGGGACUCUGACACUAUAAAUACAAAUCUCAGUGUAUGCACAAAGGGGGAAAGACAAUAUAGAGAAAAAAAAAAAAACAAAGGAGAAAAACAGGGGAGACGACAGAAGUAAGAAAACAAAGGAGAGAACCUAAAAAAAAAACCAAGAAUAGAGGGAGAAGAGACUGAAAAGAGGAGAAGAAGGAGAGCAUUCUCCUGUUGAUGUCUGCACUGCUACCUUUGCCUUCAGCUUCACCAGGUAAAGCCUUCUUCUUCUCUAUGUUUUUGUGUAAUUGUUGCAAGAAAAUAGUGUCAAUGUAACUUAAUUACCUUCAUACUAUGCAGUGCACGUGUGGGUUGAGCCACGCUUGCUUGCUGCCCAACCGGGUCACUGGCUUAGGGCCAGUGACCAGGUUGGGUUGGCUGGGUCAAGCCCAGCCCAUGUUGGUUAGGCUAGACCCAGCCCCAAAAAAAAAAAAAAAAAAGAGAGAGAGGGUCAAUUAUGGGCUUUAGGCUUAGCCGGCCCAAAUUAUGUUUAUUAAGGGUGUGUUUGACAAAACACACCCUUAUGCCUUGGCUAUAAUUUUUAUGCUCAUUUUAGUUUGAUAUUUAGCCAAACGAGCCCCUUUUUUAUAUCAGAAAAUUCCAAAAAUAUUUGAGGAUCUUUGUUGAUUUAUUUGUGGGCCCCACGCACUUUGAUUUAUUUUUUUUCUUUGUGUUUUGUAUUUGUUUUAAGUUAUGUGCUCAAUCUGUGGCCUAUUAUUGUUAAAUACAAAUAUGUUGUGCAAUAUUUUUUUUAUUUCCAUCUAAAAAGGGCAAAUAAUAAUAAAGGAUAAACAAGAAAAAAUAUGACAUAGAAAAUUUCUUCUUCAAAUGUAUUUUUUGCGAAAAUAUUCACUGACGCUAGAGUUAGGAGUAUCGUAUUUUUUGGAUUUGUGCGAUAUUUACCAACGCUAGAGUUGUAAAUAUUCAUAGGAAUUGUUCACUGAUACCAGAGUCAGGAACAUGAAAGGAAGAAUAAAAAAAGGGAAAAGGAGAACAAAUUCUUAAGCAAUUUUAGAGAAAACCAGCAAUGCAGCCUGCCUCAAGUAGGACGCUUAGGGGGUGAUAGCAUCUUCCCUUUUGCAUAACCAGUCUUGUACCAUAGAAUCUUUGUUGAUCAGUUACGGUUCCUAGUGACCAUAAUACUAGGUGGCGACUCCUUGAACUAGAUAUUUUACCCUAAAAGAACAAGAUGUCAGAUAUCUGUUCUUUUUUCCAAUCAAGUGAUAAUUUUUAAUCGAUCACCGCGAUGUCCGGGUGUGACACUUCCAAUGGUGAAACCUGAAAAUAUUUUAAUAUGGUGCAUCCUUAGUUUUUAAUGGAAUCAAGAAACCAGCAUCUUGGGUUAUGUAUAGACAAAUUCAAUUCAUUCGGAUCAUUUGAUGCUCCUUGUUGGCCCGUGAUACAUUUUACAAAUUGUCACCAGAUAUGUGUAUGAGGCCGAAGUUCAUGUUUUUAUCAACAGUCAUACCUGGUUAUAAUAGUCCGAGUUAAAAUAUAGAUGUUUGUUUUCGGUGGUGGUUUGGAAGGAUUUCAAACCUUCAUACAUCUCUGAGGCCAUAUGGGCAAAAUAUAUUUAGCAUAUAAUGUAUGAUCAUUUUGUGCGACAAUCACACUCCAGUGCAAAGAACCAGAACUAGCAAGUUCACGAAUCUAUUAUCCACACACCGGCAGCUCUAUUCCAUGUGUUUCACAUGCGAGACAGAUAGUAAGAUUCGUUUUUUAUUAUAUAUAUUUUUUAUUUGUUGUUUUCUAUAAAUAUAUUUAAUUAACAGUUUUAUCUUGCAGUAUACAGAUUUUGGACAUAAACCAAGCCCCAUUGAUGACCGCAAAAAAAGUCAAGGGUGCAAUUUCAUAUUUUAGAUUAGCUAGGACACAUUAUGCUUAAUUGAUAAUUCCUAGAAAGUAUUUGAAUUCAUUGCAAGCAUUCGUGCGUUUUGGAUAAGAUAUGGUCAUCUAGCCAGGUGGCACGCAUCGUUUGGCAGAGACCACAGGGGUUGGAAUUUUUGCCUUAAGGUGUUUUUUCUAUUUUAACUUUUCAGUCCAAGUUUUGUAUAGUUGUGAGACCGUUUAGUUAGGGUAAGUGAAAAUAUCAUAAUCUCAAUUAUGAGUCUGAUGAAAAUAAUAUUUAUUUAAUAUUCUAAUAUUUAUUUGAUUUGAUUUUUAUUAGUUAUGUCAACUUAAUUUAUUAUUUAAAACAAUUUUAUACUUUAGUGGCAUUCCACAAUUGAUAUUCAAAAUUUAUUAAAUCAGAUUUUUUUUAAUUUCUUAACUAUGAUUUUUAAAUAUAAAAAACUUUGAUUUAUUAAUUUCAAAGAAAUUAUUUUUUAAUAUUUAAAUAGUUACCCUUAAGGGAUUUUACUGCACAACCAUUUAAGUAAUUAUAUUGUAUAAAAAAUUAAAAGCCCAAAAAGCCCAUGAUUAUUUUUAUAAUGAUCAAUUAAGUAUGUGAAAAGACCACGUUAUCCUUAAAAGACAGGCAAAGUUUUUAGAUUGAGAAAGGCAAAAUAGUAAAUUCAUUACUAUAAUCCAUAAUAAUUCAACACAUAUCUAUAGUAAUUCUUUCGGGUUUAGGUUUUUGUUAAUUCUACAUGGAAAUAAGGAGUUGAUGUAUGAUAUAUAUUUUUUAGAACAUUAUAAUAUUUGAUUUCAAACAUGUUGUCAGCGAAAAUGGAAAAACGGGUAAAAGGGAGAAAAUUGACAUUGAAAUUGUGGGAUCGGAUAAUUGGUCUUUCCAAUGCAUUUUUCAAUUUUUUUUAUAUAUAAAAUGCUUAAAAGACUGGAAAGAGAGUUUUGCACUUUCUCGGCCAUGGUCCAUACAUGCUCAAAUUUUGGAUAUGAAGACUUUUGGGCUUUCCUUGUGUGUGUGUAUAUAUAAAAAAAAAUAAAAAAAUCAGAGAUUACCUUGAGUUUAUUAUUCUAGAAAUCAAAGCAAAAACGUCAAAAUAUAUAUAUAUUCUAAGAUGAAAAAACUAAAAUUAAUGUCUAAAAUUGAUAUACACUUAAAAUGAAGAGUUUUAAUUUGACAUGCAAAGAAUUAAAUAAUAGUAAUUUGAAUUCAUUGACGAGUUUUUUCUAACCAAAUGAGACUAAUGAAGGAGGAUUUUUUUUUAAUAUACAACUUUAUAUUAAUGAGUACAAUUUUCAAUUUCAUGGUUAGCUCAUGCUAUAACUUUGGUAAAAGAUUUCAAAAGCUUUAUUUUCUUGAGGGUAAAAAGUCCAUACCCAUCAGAGUUCAAAAGGAGUCCAAAAAUUACUAUUUAAGAUUUUUUAUAUUUUCUAGUUAAUUUAUGAUUUUUUUCUAUUUAGAUUAAAACCUUUUUUUAUUUUUUUUAUUUUUAUUUAAGAUGUUUUUCCUAGUUUUUUUAUGACUUUUAUUACUUUUCGUUUAUUUUCUGAAUUUAUUGUUAGUUUAGUUAAGUUUUUAGGUUUAUUGAAGGAAUUGCAAACCUCUUAAAUUGAUAGAUUAUUUGAAAAAAAAAUAUAUUCAGUUAUAAAAUUAUAAAUUAGGAUUUCUAUGUGAUUUGUUUUAGAAUUAUUUUGUAUUUUUUUGUUUUUGUCUUUCUCGUGGUACUUUCAUCUGCAUCAGUAGUAUAUAAAACUUCAAUUUAUAAUUUUAUUAUUGAAUAUUUAUCUUCAAAUAAUCUUUUAAAAUACAAGAUAAAAAUCUUACUUAUACUAGAAAAAACACCCUAAACAAAACUAAAAAUAAUAAUAAAAGAGUUUCAAACUAAGUAGAAUGUUUUAUUAAAUCAACUAAGUAAAUAUUGCAAAUCCCAAAUAAUAAUUUCUUAGACUUAUUUGAAAGUCUUUUCAUAUUUGAAUUGAUACAAAACUUUAACUUUAUAAUAAAUAAAGCACAAAAGGAAUUCCCAUUAAAAUAACCUAAUUCAAUAGUUGAAUUAAAAGGAAUUCCCAUUAAAAUAAAGUUGGAUUCUAAAAAAACAAUAGUCUCCUACAUCAUAAAACACUACUUGUACUCGGCCUGUGCUAGUUUUUUAAUUUUAUUUAAAGGUACUAGGUUUUUUUUUUUUAAAUCAGAAAAAAGAAAACGCAAGGACAUGGUUAAAAUAAAGAAUUCUAAUCUUUACCAAAUUUGGUUAUGAAGAACUUUUUCCCAUAAUAAAUAUAAAAAGACUUAAUAUCACGCCUCGAACCAAGACUCAUGAAAUUAUUUUAUGUGCACGAAGAAAUUUUAACUUCAAAAAUAAAAAUUAUAUUCAAAAUAAUAUUCAAUUAAAAGAAAAUACAUUGAAUCAUAAGUUAAUUAAGACUUUAAUAAUAUAAAUCUAACUUUAAAGUCAAAUAAAAACAAAUGUAAGUCUAAAUCAAAGAUAAUAAAUUGAUUUAAUUAUUUAAAUAUUAAAGUCUAGAAAUUAACUAUAAACUUCCAAAACAACUAGAUGACAUUCUAAGCCUUUUCCAAAAUUAAAUAAGAGGUGAGUUAGAGAAGUCUAUUUGAUGCAAACUCAAUUUUGUUGGAUUUCUGACUCAAAGACCUAUCAACCUAUGGAAUUUCAGCUAAAAAAAUACUCAUAUAAGAGAUAUGAUAUUUCUAAGACAACCUAUAAAUUCUGAUAACAGACAGGUUUUGUGAAGAAAUAAGUCUCAAACAUCCAAACCGACAGGACAAUUAUUUUUUCAUAUGAAAAUGGUUUUUAUUUAGGCAAAUUAACUUCACUAAAUCCAAAGUCAAAACUUGAAGAUUUUAUAUAAGACUAUUUUUCCUUCUUUAUAAGAAAGUAAUUAUUGUGUUACUUAAAUAUAGAUUGUCUACUUUGGAAAUGACUUUUAUAUUUUUAGGAUACAAACGGACUAGUAGGAAUGUGAGGAUUAUGGUUUCCUAUCAUAUAAAAAGAAAGAGAGAGAGGAAGAGAGGGAGGCGAUAAAAAAAGAAGAAGAAACUCUCAUCUUUUUUUCCUACACUUGACAUUUUGUUUUCAUCCUUUCUUUUCCUUAGUUUUUUUAUAGUCAUACGAGACUAAGUUAUUUUUCUUGGUUGAAAAGAUACAGAAGCCUUAAAAUUUCAAAAAAGCUAUGAGAUCUAUUUUAUCUUUUCAUUUCAGUUUAUAUGAUGAGUAUAGAUGUUUUUCUAUACUUAUUUUUUUAUGACUGUUUAGUUUGAUUGAUUAGAACGACUAAGUUUUCAUUCUUACCAAUCUAUUGCUAAAUUUCUAUCAAAAUCAGAGUCGUGAUAUUUAACUUGUGAAGCGGCUAAGUUUAAUAAUUAUGAAAGAUCUAUGCUAUUAAUUUUAGGGAAAACAAUCAAUUAAAUUGAACAUAGACUGUAGACAGAUAUGUUGUCUAGAUUUAUCAACCUAUCUAGUUCUUAAGGCUACCGUUGAAUUAAAUUGCUAGUGCGGACGCAAUGGUUGUUUAAUGGUUAGAUUAGUUAUACUGAAUGUCAGUUAACUGAUUAAUAUUAAGAAAAGAUAAAUAUUCAGAAUAUAAAUUGACGAAUCGUUUCAAUAAUUAGUUUUGAUUUCUGUCGUUGAACAUUUACUUAAAUGUUUUUCUCUUAAUAAGUUUCGGUUUAUUUAACUUAGUUUGAGUACUUUAUUUUGUUUACCUUACCUAGCUUAGAUAAUUUCAACCCCUCAACUUUGAAUCAUUUAGCAUAAAAACCCAAACUAAAUCUUUCUCGUGGGAUCGACCUCUUACUUGCUCUAUAUUAUCUUAUUUGUUUAAGUUAGGGUAAUUAAUUUGUGUGAUCACGACAUUGCAACACAAAUACAUAUAUCUUAAAGUAUAUUCAAAGAACUUUUGCAAUCAUAAACAUAUUUUUAUAAAUCACUUAACAUUAUUUACAAAAUCAUUUACAUGCAUGAUCCACCUAAUUUACAAAACAAUAAUUAUUUGAAAAACUCAUUUUGUACAUAAGUAUAUAUUUUCUAACUUAAAAUAACUAACCAAAGUGAUGAAAUAUUACUUGCAUGUUACACAAAUCCAAUAUAUAUUUGUCCUAGAGACAACCAAGCACUCUUAACAACCUAACAAUAAUAAUCAUUAUAAAUUAUAUGCUCACUGAUAUCCAAUGCAAUACAUGAGCUUGUUUCUAAUUCAUAAUUUAAUAAAAAAAAAUUAAAUAUAUCACUUGCUUAAAUGACCUUAAAAUUCCCAUGAAAAAUCAUCCAAUACUAGAACCGUGUUAUUACAACCCCCUAUUUUACUUAUAAAAUAUCUAUUUUUAAUAAUUAAAUACCAAAAAUCACCUAAUGCUAGAACCAUGUUAUUACAACCCCCUAUUUUACUUUUAAAAUAUCUAUUUUUAAUAAUUAAAUACCAAAAAUAAUUAUGUAAAACAUAUGACUAUUAUAGUUCAAAUUUAAGAACAUUAUAAAAUCUAUUAGAAAAGGAUAAUAAAUAUUUUUAUUUCAACUAAAACAAUAUUAUAAGUAUAAUUAAAGUGGAGGUGUCAAAAAUUAUUAAGUGCAACUAUUUUUUAAAAAUAAUUUAUGUAGUAAAUAAAUUAAUUCAUAUACAAAUCAAGUUCUUUAUGAAAUACUUUUCACUAAUUCAAAUUCUACAUGAAAAGAAAUUGAUAGUAGUAUAUUAAAAUGUUUAAAACUUAAUUAUAAAAGUUAUUCAUCAAUCUUCAAAAUAAAUUUUAGUUAUUAACUACUAAAUUUCACUAAUAAAAAGUAUUUUUUUCAUAAAUUUAAAAAUACUAAAAAAUAUAUUAAAAGCACACUAAAAUUUCCUAGUAACAUAUUAAAUAGAAACAACAAACUUUAGGUCAUUAAAUAUUCAGGGAGAAUUGCACUUUUUAAUAAAAAAAAUAAAAUUAAAGAGUAUUUAUAAACUUAUAAAUUACAAAUUCAAGUGACUUACAUCCGACUGUCAUAAUUUUUAAUCCACAACUUUGAUUUGGGCAAAUGACUUAUCAAAUCAAAGAACUUACAACAUACUAUAACUAGGUACUAAAUUCCAACCAUAACAAUAAUUGGAAGACCAGAUUCCUGCGGUCCAAAAUUACCAACUUAUCCUUUUUUUUCAAAUCUCUUAAUUUCACUAUUACUUCUUAAAAAUAUUUUUUAUUAAAAUAAUUUUUUUAAAAGAAUAUAUAUAUUAAAAUAUAUUUUUUUAUUUUUAAAAUUAGCAAAUUAAAAUGAUUUAAAAAUAUAAAAAAAAUUAAUUUAAAACAUUUUUUAUAAAAAUUUUGCAAAUCUCUAUUUAAACCACACUGGAGGUCAUCUUAUACUACAUAACCUACUCGAAGGCCGCUCAAUUUUUAUUUCUUUUUAAUUUUAAUUAUAUGAGUUCUUUAACAUAUCUCAAAUUUUCGAUAUUGAUGUUGACACUUUUGUUAUACUUAAAAUUAGGAUCAAUAUUCGCAACAUACAUUUAGUAGAGAAAUUGUGUCCUACAAAAUCAGAAAUCAUAUGAUUGAGAUUGUAAAAUUCAAAAAAUAAAAAGUUUUAAAUCCAAAAAAUAAAGUAAUCUUAAAAAGGGAAAGAAUUUUUGGGAUUAGUUUUAAAUCCCAAAAAUAAACUAUUUAAUUUCUUUAUUUAAUCAAGCUAACUUUCAGUUUUUUUAUUUAGUUUUUUCAAUCAUCAUUCAUCUAGUUGAAUUGAUUUUUUUUUUCAAAAUAAAGAGUUUUACAAGGACUAAAUUGCAUAAAUUUUAAGGGUGCAAUUUCAUAUUUUAGAUUAGGACACAUUGUGCUUAAAUGCUAAUUCCUGAGAAAGUAUUUUAAUUCAUUGCAAGCAUUCGUGCGUUUUGGAUAAGAUAUUGUCAUCUAGCCAGGUGGCACGCAUCGUUUGGCCGAGACCACAUGCCUUAAGGUGUUUUUUCUAUUAUAACUUUUCAGUCCAAGUUCUGUAUAGUUGUGAGACCUUUUACUUAGGGUAAGUGAAAAUAUCAUAUUCUCAAUUAUGAGUCUGAUAAAAAUAAUAUUCAUUUAAUAUUCUAAUAUUUAUUUGAUUUGAUUUUUAUUAGUUAUGUCAACUUAAUUUAUUAUUUAAAACAAUUUUAUACUUUAGUGGCAUUCCACAAUUGAUAUUCAAAAUUUAUUAAAUCAGAUUUUUUUUUUAAUUUUUUAAAUAAAUUUUCAAAUUUAAGAAACUUUGGUUUAUUAAUUUCCCUAUGCACUGCAUCGCUUGAACUUUAGUCUUUAGGGUUUUCUUUCAAGUGGGCAGCAUGAGAAAAUAUCUAUCGGACAAAAACAGUUUUUUAAGUACUGAUAGUUUUUUUUAAGGAAAAAAAUCAAUUAAUAUAAGAUUUGACACAUAUUAGAAGAUACUGUUUUUAAUACUAAGACAGUUAUACAUUAAAAUUUAUUUUUUAAGUAUUAAAAUACUGCAAAUCCCAAACAAUAAUUUCUUAGACUUAUUUGAAAGUCUUUCCACAUUUGGAUGGAUAUAAAAUUUAAACUUUAUAAGAAAAUAGAAACUUUGAAUUUUUUUAUUAAAAUUUUAAUCCGAUUCAACAGUUAAAUAAAAAGUUAUGUCUAUUAAAAUAAAAUUAUAUUUUAGAAAAAAAUAAUCUAUGCCUUCAAUAAAAUAGCUUGAGAAAACACUAUUGGGACCAGUGGUUUUUCAAAAACAUCAGCAUUUCCUUUCCAGAGGUGCUAUUUCUUAAAAAAAAAAAAAAAAAUUUCGCCGUAUGCUAGUUUUUCAAUUUUAUUUAAAGGUAGUCCAUCAAUUUGACAAUUCUAUGUUUCAUGCUCCCAUGAUAUGAGAUGAAUUCCUAAAUGCUAUUAGUCUGGUUGGGCAAUCAGAUUUAACAGUGUUACGUCCUGCUAUUAGUAGAAUCCAAUAAUAUUAUGCCAACCAGAUUUAAUAUUAUUGGAUAUGACUUGGGUUUGGUGGUUAAGUUUGGCUUAACUACUAAAUCCAAAAAUAUUAAGUUUGGAAUUGCUGUCAGACCUAAAUCAUUUAAUAUAUUAUACUAAUUUAAUUUCAAACAUGUUGUAGGUGAAAAUGGACAAAUGAGUAAAAUGGAGAAAAUUGACAUUGAAAUUGUGGGAUCGGAUAAUUGCUCUUUUUCAAUGCAUUUUUCAAUAUUUUUAUAUAUAAAAUGCUUAAAAAACUGGAAAGAGAGUUUUGCACUUCCUUGGGCCAUGGCCCGGACAUGCUCGAAUUUUGGAUAUGAAGAGCUUGAUCUGUUGUGAUGCACAACAUAUAUGUCCCAUUGUUUUCUGCCGCUUUAAAAUAUUUGUUCUGACUGUCUUGCGGAAAGGCAUUCACUAUCGUUAGCAAAUCUAAUGGAACUUCAUAUUAGCAAUUUUUCGGACAGCACAGCUUCAGCGACUAGCGAUUUCAGAAAUUGUCACCUCAUUUACAGAGCACAGUCCAUCUUCAACGUCUAAUGCUAUAUCAGGAAAUUUAUCAGAUUUUCUUAAGAGGAAUGCAGGUUGGGAGUUUUAGCAGGGGCUACGUCUAGUGCUGAAGAGCUUGAUCUGUUGUGAUGUACAACAUAUUUGUUUUCAUUACAAAUCUAAUGGAACUUCAUCUUAGCAAUCAUUCAGACAGUACAGCUUCAGCGACAGGCAAUUUCAGUAAUUGUCACCUCAUUUAGAGAACACUGUCCAUCUUCUACGUCUAAUGCUAUAUCAGGAUUAUUGUCAGAUUUUCUAAAGAGGAAUGCAGGUUGUUUUGGAGAAGGAAUCUCUGUUUCGUUACUCAACAUAAAACAACAGCCAACAUAGAUGGUCUGUCCGUGGCAUCUUCUUGCACGCACAGUAGACCAAUUUGUAUGCAUUUCAAGGCUUCACGCGGAUGAUACAACUCCUUCAGUGAUGGAUCAACUAUCUCCAAUGCUUUGUCUUCUCUCCAUAAUUCCCACACCUGUGUUGUUCAUAUAAAUCAUUAGCAUACAAGAAAUGAGAGCAGGCAACAUCUAAAAUUGUGAACAUUGAAACUCAGCCAAGAGCACAAAAGGCUAUCUUAUAACUCACAUAUCCAAUCAAGGUCAAAGGAGGAUUCUGUUGAUAAAAUCUAUUGUUCUUCUUGCCACUAACAAUCUCUAGCAACAUGACCCCAAAACUGAAAACAUCUGAUUUUGCGGAAAAGUUUCCAAACACAGCAUAUUCUGGCGACAUAUAUCCACUGCAUCAGAAAAACAAUAGUAGUUUUAGUAUUCCUGGUAAUCAAGGAUAGUACUUUGUCACUCGGUCUUUGUUUUAGGCAAAGGUACUUACUAUGUUCCCACAACUCUCCUUGUCCUAUCUUCAGUUUGGUUGCCUUCAAAUAUUUUUGCCAUUCCAAAAUCUGAUAUUUUUGGGUUCAUCUCUGCAUCCAAUAGAAUGUUGCUGCAUUUUAAAUCCCUGUGAAUGAUUCUCAACCUGGAGUCUUGGUGAAGAUAUAAAAUCCCACGAGCUAUUCCAACAAUAAUAUCAAAGCGUUUUCGCCAAUCCAAUAACAAUCUUCUUGUUUCAUCUGUUGAAACAAUUAUUUUUCAGACAACUAGUGUAAAUCAGGGCAAUAAAAACAUAAAGAGACUUACGGAAAAGAAACGAGUCCAAGCUUUUGUUCGGCAAGUAUUCAUAGAUUAAGAUUUGUUCUCCAUCCUGAGUGCAAUAACCUAGAAGUUUCACCAGAUUCCUGUGUUGAAGCAUUGCAAUUACCAUAACUUCAUUUUUAAAUUCUUCUGUUCCUUGUCUUGAACUUCUAGAUAACCUUUUUAUUGCAACCUCCAGCCCAUUAGCUAGCAGACCCUAAAAUCAUGUUACAAGAUUAAGCCUCUGGACUAAUAUUAUGCAAAUUAGAGAGGCCAUUUAGUUUUUAGCUAAAUGCAAGAAACUCAACCUUAUAAACAGAGCCAAAACCACCUUGCCCGAGUUUGUUAGCUGGAGAGAAAUUGUUUGUGGCCGCCGUUAUGGUGCUGAGCUUGAAAUAUUUCAAUUCAGUAGAAGUGCUGUUUACCUGCAGUUCAGAACCUUUUUUGGCUCUCUUCUUGAACCACAAAUAAGCAAACACGCUAAUGAGAAACCACAAUAAUGCAAUUGAUGGUGCUAAAACGGCCUGCAUCGUUUUUUCACGAGAAUCAUUUGACUUCCUUUUAGUAUCAGCUGCAUGAGAAUGAUAUCAUUUUCUUCCACUGAAACAUUUGGAGACCACACAGGAAGCUUUUGGUCAUCGUUACCAUAGAGAACGAGGUUACCAUAUUGGUCUACAAAGAGAAAUCCUGAGGAACCAAUGGUUGGAUCGUUCCUGUUUGCAACCCACACCACAGUUGUUCUGGUACUUUAUGGUACCGAAUUCCAAGAUAUCUAUUGCUAGAACUACCUGGACUGAAAAAUCCUAGUGCAAAAUUAUUUCCUUUGGAGAUAAGAACGUCACCUUCUUUAAUGGUUUGGUUCGUCUUUAAGGAGUCUAGGGAUGUACAAGAUAAGAAAUGGAGCAUUAAAAGAGAAAAAAGCAGGAACAGUUUUUCAGCUUCCAUGAUGGAGUAAAGUGGAUCUUGGCUUUUGGAAAGUGUCAAAUUUUGCUUUGUGGAGAAUGGAUAUGGCCUUCAGAGUUAUUAAACCCGGCCCGGGAGUUGACCCGGCCAAGUGGCCGGGUCCCGGGUUUCAUGGGUCAACCCGGGUCAACUCGGGUCAACCCGGAUUAACCCGGAAAAAUUAAAAAAAAAUUAAAGUUUUAAUAUUUCAUAUGAAAAAAUUCAUGUAAAUAUAGAUUAUACAUAUUAUAAAGUUUAAAAGAAUAUUUUAAAAAGUUUUUUAUCCUACAUUAAAAAGAUAUUAUGUUAAGCUUUUAAGUUAAAGUAUUUAAACUAAAAAAGUUUUUUAUCCCACAUUUAAAAAACAUAACUUUUUUCUUGGAAACAUAGAGUAUAUAUACUAAUGAGUUUCAAAUCCCACAUUGAAAAGAUAAUAUAUUAUCCUUUUAAGUGGAAGUAUUUAAACCAAAAGGUUUUUUAUCCCACAUUGAAAAAACAUGAUUUUUUUCUUGGGAACAUAGAGUAUAUAUACUAAUGGGUUUCAAAUCCCACGUUGAAAAAACAUGGUUUUUUUCAUGGGAACAUAGAGUAUAUAUAUAAAAGGCCUUCAAAUCCCACAUUGAAAAGAUACCAUGUUAUCCUUUUAAGUUGAAGUAUUUAAACAAAAGGUUUUUUAUCCCACAUUGAAAAAACAUGGUUUUUUUCAUGGGAACAUAGUGUAUAAAUAUGAAAGGGUUUCAAAUCCCACAUUGAAAAGAUACUAUGUUAUGCUUUUAAGUUGAAGUAUUUAAACCAAAAGGUUUUUUAUCCCACAUUGAAAAAACAUGGUUUUUUUCAUGGAAACAUAGAGUAUAUAUACUAAUGGGUUUCAAAUCUCACAUUUGAAAAAAAAAAAAAACAAAAAACAAAAAAAAUCGGGUCUCGUCCGGGUUCGCCCGGGUCACCCGGGUUCCGGGUCGACCCGCCGGGUCGCCCGGGUUUGGCCGGGCUGUUGCCACAGCCGGUCUUUUAUUAAACCCGGACCGGUCCAGCCACCGGGCCGGGCCGGGUUUAAUAACUGUGCUUCAGACAAGUCUCCAGAGAAGUUGCGUGACGGAAUUAGGCGUCUCUUUAAUGAGUUACUCUUUUCAACCUUCAAAGUCUAGACAAUGACUUGUUUUUGUUAAAGUAUCAAUCCAGGAUUUUUGGAAACGACACCGUCCUCUAGUUUUAGAAAUAUGUAGGUGAUUGCAUACGCAUAUAAAAACAACAUAAAAAAGACAAUAAACACAAAGAAAGAUGGAAUUGCGUCGAAAAAGACAAAAUCAUUCAAACUUUUAUUACUCAAAAAUUUUCUAAUUAAAUUUAAAUAUUAAAGCUCUUCUAAAUUAUUAUAUACUAGGAAAAACACCCUGAACAAAGCUUAAAAAUUAAUAAAAUAUUUCUAAAGUAAAUAAAAAAAUAAUCUAAAUUAACUUGAAAAAUAUGAUAUUUUCAAAAUAGUAAUUUCUAGUACUGGUUUGGAGGCCUUAACUUCAUAAAUAAGACCUUUAGGAAUAUUGCCUCUAGAAUCAAAAUUUAUGUCCAUUAUCAUAAGGUCAUGCGUUGGAUGAAAAUCUUCUACAUCAGUCUCUUUAUGUUGAAAAUAACUUGUUUUCAAGUUCAAAUUAUUCUUGUUUUGAUAUCGUGAAUGCUUAAUCAAAGCUCUCAACCUCUUUUCCUUUCUUUUCUUAAGGUAUAUAACAAUACUAGAUAUUGGCUUUAGUUCUUUAUCAACAUAUGUUGUAUCUAUAUAAUCCUUGAACAAUUCUAUCUUUGUGAUAAUAGUAAACUUGUAAUCAAAAGGAUCAACAUAAUCUAAAUCAAUAAUUUAAUUUUAUUGGUCAUCUUCGGUAUUCUAUUUACACUUAAUUUCUACCUUAUCAAUAUGAACACCAUUGAUGACAUUAUUGCUCCUUUGCUGUCAUUGUUUAUGUUAUUAUUAUUAUCAUAAGUGUGGCUAGGUGAUCACACACAUAUAUAAAAGUUUAGUUUUCUUUGUUAUUUUUUUCACUUGGAUCGUUUUUGUUUUUGAGUUUUUUAGAUCUUGAUUAUGGUUCUUGAGAAAUAAUUAGAGUUGUCAGUGUUACGCAAAAAAAUAUGGAAGGAUUUGAUCUUCCAUGUGUUUGGUCUGAUAAAUCCAAGCUAUGUGGUUUUUACUUUGUUGAUUCAGCUUUCUAACUUCUUCUUCUUCUUUUUUAUGUUUCAUGUGUUAUGUUGUUGAUUCCUCUUUUUGCUGGAUGAUCUUAUGAGGUUUUUGAAUACUGUAAGGAUCUCUUGCUUUCUCAAUUUACUGUAUUUUGCUGCACUCUACAUCUAUAUUGAGUUUGAGCAUAGCCAGUGUUGUUAUCUAUUUUGGAACCUCACAUAAACAUAAAAAAAAUAAAAAAAAUAAAAAAAUAUACAUCAGUAGGAAGAACAUGAAGAAUGUCCAGAAAAUUGCCAACUAGUUGGGAAGAAUCAAAAUACCCAAAGUUGAAAAAUUGAUAGUUCAAUUUUGACUCAUGAAGGCCCUAUUAACAAGAAAAAUUCAAUUUGGAAAGAAAAAUUCAAAAUUAGAUGUUUAAUAACUCAAUUGAAAUUUUUCAAGGUUUAAUUGUAUUUAUUGAGGGAUUGAUUGCAAGGAAAAUUGGUUUUUAAGUUCAAUUUGAACUUUAAUGGGAAGAAAUUGAAGUCUGGGGGUUGAAUUGUAAUUUUAAAAGGCUAAUUUAGUUAGCUAAAAACAUGGCAUUGUAUUAUUAAUAUGAUGCGGUGGAUGGAGUGAUGGUGCACCCUUCCGAUGGUGAAGCCUGAAAACAUUUUAAUAUGAUGCAUCCUUAGUUUUCAAUGGAAUCAAGGAACAUGCAUCUAGGGUUAUGUACAGACGGAUUCAAUCCAUUUGGAUCAUUUGUUGCUCUUUAUUCUUGUUGGCCAAUAAUACUCACAGUUUACAAAUUAUCAUUGGGCAUGUGUAUGAGGUCGGAGUUCAUGUUUUUAUCAACGGUCAUACCAAGUCAUAAUAGUCUGAGUUAGAAUAUAGAUGUUUGUCUUUGGUGGUGAUUCAUAAGGAUUUCAGGCCUCCGUACAUGUCAGAGGCCAUGUGGGCGGAAUAUAUUCAGCAUGUGAUGUUUGAUCGUUACGUGCGACAAUCAUACUCCGGUUCAGAGAACCAGAACUAGAAAGUUCAUGGUUUUGUUAUCACACACACCAGCAGCUCCAUUCGAUUCGUUUCGCAUGCAAAACGAAUGGUUAGAUUAGUCUCUCUAACACUACAACCCAGUUCUUGCGAAUAGCCCGUAAUUUUUCAAACCAUUAGAUAUUUGUAAUCAGUUUCGAGCACUCAUACUCUAGAGUUCGAGAUGAUUUUAGACCAGCGAAUUAAAGAUUAGACGACCCAUCUUGUUGCUGAUUAUGAAUGACUACUUAGUGUUGAGAUAACCAAACUUCACCAAUUCGUAUUGGAGAUGAGAUCACAUAUGAGUGGUACUUGUGCUCCCUCUUAUUCGCCCCACAGUUUAGGCAAAGAUCUGCCUUCUCCUCCUCCUCCAGCACUUCUAUUCUAGAUGAAUUGUAUUUGAACUUAUAAAUGUUUAAAUUUGUAAUAAAUAUUUGAUUUUAUAUUAGUUUAAUUUUUUAAAUACUUUUUGUUUCUGCUUAAUAGAUUUUUUUUAAAUAUAUUUUUGAAUUAUUAAUGACAGGGUUACAAACGGACAUAGUUUGUCGGUAUAUUUUAAAAAGUUGAAAAAUAAUUACUGCAAAUAUCACUGUCAUUGUUUACUGACCGACAAAAUAACAUACAAUAUGUUUGACAAUUACAAGUUAAAUUUACCGAUGGACAUACUGACAGUUGAAAAAAAUCAUCAAUGCAAUGACAUGUGGUUUUUCUGUUAGUGAUAUGUUAUAUUCAAUGUUGGAAAUACUGAUGAAAUGAAGCAGGUAAAGUUUUUUUUUUUGCAUGCUUUGUACAUUAUUAAAUGUAUCUGUAAAAUUAUUACCGAUAGAUCACAAAUCAUUAAUGAGAGUUUUUUCGAUGGAAGAUUUUUGUCUGUGAUCAUGUCGUUAAGGACAUGAAGCAAAGAGUGAACUUCUUCCUAAUAAACACGUGACUUGGGACGGCAUAACAAAUAGAGAUUAGAGAGUCUUGUCGUACCUUAUUUUGCCCUCUUCUUGAGCCACAAAUAAGCAGUUAACAUUUGAUGCAAUUGAUGGUACUAAAAUGGCCAGCAUCGUUUUUUCAAGAGAAACAUUUGACUUCCUUGUAUUAUUAGCUGCAUGAGAGUGAAAAGAAUAAAGAUUCAACUCCAGAGGAAAAACAACAAUACAGAUCUUAUUAACAUUUGACUUUCUCCAAUGGAAACAUGACAAUACAAUUGCAAAGGCUGGCCCCUUCGGCACCUAACAAGUAUCAAUAUCAAUGGUUUCUUUCAUGAAGUACAGAGCUUAUUAACUACAUCCUAGAGCAGUGGCAAACAUUGAAAAGCUUUUAUAAAACAAUAUUUGAAAUGAAAAUUCUAAGAAAUUGGUACUGAGCAGAAAAAGGGCACCUAAUUCAUAUGCAUCAACACGAACAUAUAGAUCAUAAAUUUCACUCCUUUCAUAUCUGAUGUCUACUAAUUCCUUGUACCAUGUCAAACUGUUGAUAAUAGGUAUAUAAAGAACUGAAUGUUGAUGAUAACCAGAAAAACAAAGAACAAAGAACUUGCAACAAAUUAAGAACAAAGAGCAGAAUGUUUUUCAUAUUGGUUACUGCCAUCCCUUAGCUUUUAUUUAUAGAUGAAAUCAAUCACAACACAAUUAAGAAACAUAAUUAACAUAAACUUCUUCAUUUAUGGAGCUAUGUAACUUAUCCUAAAUAAGUUUCAUAUCUAAAGGUAAAAACUCACUAAACAACAUUAAGAUAAUGAUGUUACUAAUAGAUAAACAUUAAUGAAAGAUAACAUAUGGCUGAGACAUUAAUUUCAGCUUUGGUGCCAUAACUUCAACACUCCUCCUUGGUUCCAAAGCUGCACAUUCCUAUCAUCUCCCUUAGAUCUUCAAAUCUAUCUUUAGCUAAAAGCUUGGUGAACAGGUCUGCUAAUUGCUCUUUUGAAGUGCAGUAUAUCAUCUCUAGUUCCCCUUCAUGCUGGAAUUGCCUGAUAGCAUGGAACUUGAUCUUCAUAUGCUUGGUCCUGUCAUGAAAAACAGAAUUCUUUGAAAUAGCUAUUGCUAAUGUAUUGUCACAGAACAAUUCUGUGGGACUUCGUUGAUCAAAGUCUAGAUCAUUCAGCAUUUUCCUUAGCCAUAACAAUUGCUUUGUUGCCACAUAUGCUGCUAUGUAUUCUGUCUAUUCAGUAGAAUGUGCAACCACUGAUUGCUUCUUUGAGUUCCAACAGAAAAUGCUUCCUCCAAUAGCAAAGCAAUAACCUGAGGUGCUCAUCAUUUCUUCAUCACUUCCAGCCCAAUCACUAUCAGAAAAACCAACAAGUUUAACAGAACUUGAUUUCACAAAAUGCAUGCCAAACUCUAAGGUCCCUUUCAGAUAUCUCAGAACUCUCUUGGCAGCAACAAAAUGGAUUUGACUUGGACUUUGCAUGAACCUAGAGAGGUAAUUGAUAGCAAAAACAAUGUCUGGACGUGCAGUAGUUAAAUACAACAAGCUGCCAACUAAACUUCUGUAGGCUUUUCCAUCAGUUUUGGGAGCUCCAUCCUCCUUCAUUAACUUUUGUCCCAGUACCAUAGGUGUACUGACUGGUUUGCAAUUUUCCAUUGCAAAUUUGUUUAGUAGCUUCGUUGUAAACCUCUUUUGACAUAGGAAAUAACCUUGCUCCGACUGAGUUACUUCCAUGCCUAAGAAGUAUGACAGCAAACCAAGUUCAUUCAUCUCAAACUUAUCCUUCAUGUUGGUUUUAAACUCCUCUACCAGCUGCUCCUUGUCUCCUGCAAUCAAUAAAUCAUCUACAUACACUGAUACGAUCAGAGUAUGUUUGUCAACAUUUUUCACAUACAAAGUUACUUCAUUCAUGCUUCUUUCAAAGCCUAAACUCAAAAGAUACCCAUCCAAUCUGCUGUACCAGGCUUUAGGAGCCUGUUUAAGUCCAUACAAAGCCUUCUUUAGCAAAUAUACUUUGUUUGAUGUGAUCUCCUUUUCAAAGCCAUCAGUUUGUUCAACAUAUAUUUCUUCAUUUAGAACACCAUUCAGAAAUGCAGACUUAACAUCCAACUGAAAAAUAUGCCAACCAUUUUGUGCUGCUAGAGCAAGCAAGAGUUUUAUUGUAUCAAGCCUAAAUACUGGAGCAAAUGUCUCAGUGAAGUCAAUACCUGGCUCUUGUGAAUAACCCUUCACUACAAGUCUUGCUUUGUGCUUGUUGAUACUCCCAUCUGCAUUCAGUUUGGUUUUGAAAAUCCAUUUCACACUAAUUACCUUCUUGUGAACGGGUCUGUCAACCAACAUCCAUGUUUCAUUCUUUUCUAUCAUCAUGAGCUCCUCCUUCAUUGCAGCUAUCCAUACUUGUGAGUUAAUAGCUUCUUCAAAAUCUAUUGGUUCUGCUUCAGCAACAUUGCACCUGCUGUAAAUCUCAGCUAAGGACCUUGUCUCCCUUACUGGUUUGUCAUUGACAGUAUCAUCAUCCUCUAUAGCAUCCAAUUUAAUUUGAUACUCUUGUUUUGUCUCUUCAAUUGAUGCAGCUUCCCAGUUCCAUGUACCAUUCUCUACAACUUUUACAUCUCUAGCAAUCACAACUUUAUUAGAUUUCAUAUCAUAGAUUUUAUAAGCCUUAGAUUUUGUGCUAUAGCCUAUAAGAAUUCCCAUAUCAGCCUUUUGAUCAAGUUUUCUUCUCUUUACUUCAGGUUGCAAGACAUAGCAAGGGCUGCCAAAAACUUUUAAAUGAUCAACAUUGGGUUUAAAGCCAUACCAUAUUUCAUAAGGAGUCUUAUCUCCUAACACUCUUGUGGUCAUAUGAUUUAGAAGGUAAGAUGUUGUGUUUACUGCUUCUGCCUAGAAUUUUAAUGGCAUUUUCUUCUCAUAUAGCAAACAUCUUGCCAUUUCCAUCAAUGUUCGGUUUCUCCUCUCACUGACUCCAUUCUGUUGUGGAGUGUAGGGAACUGUCAAUUGGUGUUUGAUCCCUUCUUUUGCCAAGUAUGCCUCAAAUUGUCGAGAGGUAUACUCUCCUCCAUUGUCAGAUCUCCAUAUCUUCAAUCUAUUUCUUGUUUCUACUUCAACUGCUGCUUUGAACUUAACAAACUCAGCAAACACAUCAGAUUUUGAUUUCAGAAAGUAAACCCAGCAGUACCUACUAUAAUCAUCAACAAAUAGAAGAAAAUACUUUGAACCAUUCAAUGAUUCAUUAUGCAUCGGCCCACACACAUCUGUGUGUACAAGGUGGAGUUUUGACAGUGCUCUAUAUGCAUUGUCAGGAAAAACAACUCUAGUUUGUUUUCCUAACUAACAGGCUUCAUAAAUACUCUUUUGUUCCUGUAUAUCUGGUAAACUGUGAGUCAUCUACAGGUCAGCCAUUCUCUUUAAAGUUGCAUAAUUGAAGUGCCCCAACCGUUUGUGCCAAAGAACAGAUUCAUUGUUCUCAUAAGUGUUAGCACUCAAACAUACUUCUCUCCAAUCAACAUUAAAACUUCUGUUCAUCAUUUUUGCAGAAAGCAGUAGCACUCCAUUUUUAUCGUUAAUAUCACAUACUCCAUCAUUAAAGAUUAUUGAGUAACCAUAUUCAAUUAAUUGUCCCACACUAACUAGAUUCUGAUUGAUCUUAGGUACAUAAAGAAUAUUUUUAAGAGUUUUUGUACCUGACAAUGUUUCUACUUCAAUUGCUCUUUUUCCUUCAACCUUCACAUAGUCUCCAUUGCCAAUUCUGACUCUAGAUAGAUAGCUUUUAUCCAAGUCUCUGAAUAAGCUCAAAUCUGCUGUCAUAUGGUUAGUGCAGCCACUAUCAUUGAGCCAUGAUGAGUCGUUUGCCUUUGCUGUGUUACACAUCUCCUGUAUUGUAGCCAUGAAUAAAAGAUCUUUCUUAACUUUUGAACAAUCGGCUACUUGAGCUUGUUUUACUGUUCCUGCUUUAUUUUUGCAGAAUCUUUGAAUGUGACCAAAUUGCUUGCAGUUUCGGCAUUGUGCAUUCUUGAGCCAACACCAGGCUUCAAGAUGAUUUGUUUUCUGACAGAAUUUGCAAGCAGGAAAAUGUUCUUUCUUCUCUUUCCCUCUAGUGAAGUUGUUGUUGUUCUGUUGCCAGUUAUUGGAUUGCCAGCCUUUCCCUUUUUUCUCUUUUUCCUUCUUGAUUGUUUUUGUAAAAAUUCUUAGCCCGACUCUUCUCCUUGUAAACUGCAACAAGAGCUCCUUCACUUGAUCCUUCUUGUCUAUAAGCUUGCCUUUGCUCCACAGCUUGCAAUGCAUUUACCAGUUCUUGCAGGCUCAUUUCAGAGAAAUCUUUAGAAUCUUCUAAAGAGCAAAUUUUAUGUUCAAAUUUUUCUGGUAGACUUACCAGAACUUUCUCUACUAUUCUUGAAUAUGAAAAAUCUUCUCCCAAAAGUCUCACUUGAUUCACAAGUUUUGAAAUUUGAGAAGAGAAGUCUUUGAUGGUUUCAUUUUCUUUCAUCUUUAAACCUUCAAACUAUCUUCUAAGAUUUAAAAUCUGCAUCUUCCAUGACUUCUCAUCACCAUGAAAUUCUGCUUUUAAUUUAUCCCAUGUUUCUUUGGCAGAUUUACACGCCAUGAUCCUUGUGAAAAUGUCUUCACUAACAGCAUUAUGAAGACAGGUAAGAGCUUUGAAUUGCUUUGCCUUUUCUUCAUUAAAAAAUUUCAUCUGUGCAAUCGUAGGAUUGUUUCCUAGUGGAAUUGGUUGCUUAUCGCUCUCCGCUAUCUCCCACAAGUCAAAAACUUUGAGAUAAGUUUCCAUUUUCACAGCCCACACACCAAAAUUCUACCCUGUGAACACUGGUGUUUUUGCUUGAAAAUUUACAGAAUCCAUUUCUUAAAAAAAAAUCACUUAAUCUCCCGUGUUUCACUCACAAUCCCUUCAAAGAAAAAUGCUUUGAUUUAACCUCACUAAUCUCUCGUGUUUCACUCACAAUCCCUUCAAAGAUCAAAGAAUGCUCUGAUACCAAUUGUUGAUAAUAGGUAUAUAAAGAACUGAAUGUUGAUGAUAACCAGAAAAACAAAAAACAAAGAACUUGCAACAAAGAACAAAGAGCAUAAUGUUUUUCAUAUUGGUUACUGCCAUCCCUUAGCUUUUAUUUAUAGAUGAAAUCAAUCACAACACAAUUAAGAAACAUAACUAAUAUAAACUUCUUCAUUUAUGGAGUUAUGUAACUUAUCCCUAAUAAGUUUCAUAUCUAAAGAAAGUAAAACUCACUGCAACACAUUAAAGAUAUGAUGUUACUAAUAGAUAAANNNNNNNNNNNNNNNNNNNNNNNNNNNNNNNNNNNNNNNNNNNNNNNNNNNNNNNNNNNNNNNNNNNNNNNNNNNNNNNNNNNNNNNNNNNNNNNNNNNNGGUGCCAUAACUUCAACACAACAACCAUCCCUUUUCCAGGAAUUCCCAAUGAUUGCGUUAUGCAGAGCAUGAACAAUUCCUCUUGCAUUCCAGUUCACAGGCUGCACGACUCUUGCUCUUGUCCAUUCAAGCUGCAGACGAAGUGUCCGGAAGACUGUAAUUCUCUAUCUUCACAAACCCUUCUCCAUGAUCGCACAACGAAGACGUCUGUAGCCGCUUCCUGACACAACCACCAGAUCCAUCUCUCGUAGACCAUUCCUUUGGGUACUUGGGCUCGAACCCAGGUAAACAGGCACAUCCAAAUCUAUUAUGAUUAGUAAGUUCACACGUACUAUCAGCACCACACAGUCCCUAAUAGUCGUCGCACUGAAACAGUGGGGUCUUCCAGUAAUCCUUCCACUGACCAUCACUUUCUCGCCAUGUUAACGCCUUUACAAGUCCUGGAUGAUCCACUAUUAUUCUUAGCAGAUAAGAAUCAUCAGGAACUGUGUAGACAAAGUACUUUUCGUCUGGAUCAUUUACAAAAGUGCUUUUGUAUAAGCCCAUCUGACUUCUCCAUGGCCAAGGGGGAGAUCUACUAAUUGGCUUUUUACCAUUAUAGAAAAAGAAUUGUGGCGAGCCUUUUGGGUUGAUCCUAACUGAAAAGUCCCUGAACCCAGGGUCUUCAGCUGAUCUCCAUGAUGUUAGGAACCGAUCAAUUCCUAAUUUUCGAUCCAGCCCCAGUUUCAUUCCAGGAAGCAGGAUGUUCGUAGGAUAAUCGAAGCUUUGCCAUACAGUUUUCCUGCUUCUUUUCCUGACCAAAAUCAAAUUUCCUGAAUCCAAGAGUUGGAGACACACAGGAAGCUUUGGGAGAACCACACAGGGAAAGGAGACCACACAGGAAGCUUUUGGUCAUCUUUCCCAUGGAGAACGGUUAAUAAAGAGAAAACCCAGAGAGAGAAAUCCAGAGGAACCAAUGAUUGGAUCGUUCCUGUUUGCAACCCACACCACAGUUUGUUCUGGUAUUUUAUGGUACCAAAUUCCAAGAUAUCUAUUGCUAAAACUGCCAGGACUGAAAAAUCCUAGUGCGAAAUAUUUUCUUGAGAUAAGAAGGUCACCUGUUUACUGUUUGGUUCGUCUUUAAGGAGUCUUGGGAUGUAGAAGAUGAGAAAUGGAGCAUUAUAAGAGAAAAAAGCAGGAGCAGUUUUUCAGCUUCCAUGAUGGGGCAAACUGGACCUUGGCUUUUGGACAAGUGAAUUGUUGCUUUGUGGAGAAAGGAGAUGGUCUUCAGACAAGUGUGGGACCAUUAGAGAAGCAGCGUGAAAAAAAUGGUUUUUUUUUUGUUUAUAGUGGUAAUGAUUUUAAAAAUAAAAAGUUAAAUGUAUUAAAAUAAUUUUUUUUUUUUAAUAUUAACUUAUUAAAGUAAUACAAAAAUAUAAAAAAAUUAAUUUUAAAUUAAUUUUUUUAAUUUUUGCAAAUCUUCAUUUAGACCACACUCCCAUGUUAUCAUAUAAUCGUGUCCUUUGUAUUCUAUAUUCGCUAGAAGGCAACUCAACUUUUUUUUCUUUUUAUGUUUGAUUUUAAUUUAUAAUAAACUAAUUUGAUAUAAUAUAUAUUAUGGUGAUAUCUAAGAUUUCGGAUGAUUAUUUAAGACAUGAGUUCUCUAAAUACCUCAAAUUUACUAGAUUAAUGAUAUUAUUGAAGAUGAUGGUUUUUCAAUUAAGAAAGAAUAUUAAUUUGGUGAAAUUGGCCAUAUUGUGAUGCAAAGAUAUUGUGAAUAUCACAAUACAUGACUUUAUUCUUAGUUUAUUGUGCAUGUUAUGAGAUAAAUUGAAAUUGAUUUGUCCUCCAAAAUCAUAAAUCAUAUAAUUGAGAUAGUAAAAUUCAAAAAAAAAAAAAAUACUUUGUUGUUACUAAUCUUAAAAAGGGAAAGAAUUGAUACAAUGGCGGACAUCAUAAGUUUUAAAUCCAUAAAACAACUAUUUUUUUUUUGUAUUUAAUUUUUUCAAUUUUAUUCAUCUAGUCGAAUUGAUAGUAAUUUUCAAUUUUUUUUAUUUAAUUUUUUCAAUCAUUAUUCAUCUAGUUGAAUUGAUUUUUUUUAAUUAAAGUAACUAUCCAUAAAAGAAUAGUUGACGAACACCACACCUAUAGCAUAACAUAUGAUGAUGCUGUUAGGUUUCUUCCUUGACACUAGGCAGAAUGGAUCAGUUGUUUAGAAUCAGGCUGGGAGUUUUAGCAGUGCUGAAGAGCUUGAUCUGUUGUGAUGUGCAGCAUAUUUGUUUUCAUUACAAAUCUAAUGGAACUUCAUAUUAGCAAUUUUUCAGACAGCACAGCUUCAGCGACAAGCAAUUUCAGAAAUUGUAACCUCAUUUAGAGAACACUGUCCAUCUUCAACGCCUAAUGCUAUAUCAGGAUUAUUGUCAGAUUUUCUGAAGAGGAAUGCAGGUUGUUUUGGAGAAGGAAUCUCUGUUUCACUACUCAACAUAAAAACAACCGCCAACAUAGAUGGUCUGUCCGUGGCAUCUUCUUGCACGCACAGCAGACCAAUCUGCACGCAUUUCAAAGCUUCACGCGGAUCAUACAACUCCGUCAGUGAUGGAUCAACUAUCUCCAAUGCUUUUUCUUCUCUCCAUAAUUCCCACACCUGUAUUGUUCAUAUAAAUCAUUAACAUACAAGAAAUAAGAGCAGACAACAUCUAAAAUUGUGAACAUUGAAACUCAGCCAAGAGCACAAAAGGCUAUCUUAUAACUCACAUAUCCAAUCAAGGUCAAAGGAGGAUUCUGUUGAUAAAAUCUAUUGUUCUUCUUGCCACUAGCAAUCUCUAGCAACAUGACCCCAAAACUGAAAACAUCUGAUUUUGCGGAAAAGUUUCCAAACACAACAUAUUCUGGUGACAUAUAGCCACUGCAUCAGAAAAACAAUAGUAGUUUUAGUAUUCCAGGUAAUCAAUGAUAGUACUUUGUCACUCGGUCUUUGUUUUAGGCAAAGGUACUUACUAUGUUCCCACAACUCUCCUUGUCCUGUCUUCAGUUCGGUUGCCUUCAAAUAUUUUUGCCAUUCCAAAAUCUGAUAUUUUUGGGUUCAUAUCUGCAUCCAAUAGAAUGUUGCUGCAUUUUAAAUCCCUGUGAAUGAUUCUCAACCUGGAGUCUUGGUGAAGAUAUAAAAUCCCACGAGCUAUUCCAACAAUAAUAUCAAAGCGUUUUCGCCAAUCCAAUAACAAUCUUCUGCUUUCAUCUGUUGAAACAAUUAUUUUUCAGACAGGUAUAAUUUGACAACUAGUGUAAAUCAGGGCAGUAAAUACUUAAAAAGACUUACCGAAGAGAAACGAGUCCAAGCUUUUGUUAGGCAAGUAUUCAUAGAUUAACAUUUGUUCUCCAUCCUGAGUGCAAUAACCUAGAAGUUUCACCAGAUUCCUGUGUUGAAGCAUUGCAAUUACCAUAACUUCAUUUUUAAAUUCUUCUGUUCCUUGUCCUGAACUUCUAGACAACCUUUUUAUUGCAACCUCCUUUCCAUUAGCUAGCAGACCCUAAAAUCAUGUUACAAGAUUAAGCCUCUAAAUUACAAUUAUGAAAAUUAGAGAAACUGUAGUAUUGAGAAGCCAUUUAGUUUUUAGCUAAAUGCAAGAAACGCAACCUUAUAAACAGAGCCAAAACCACCUUGCCCGAGUUUGUUAGCUGGAGAGAAAUUGUUAGUGGCCGCCGUUACGGUGCUGAGCUUGAAAUAUUCCAAUUCAGUAGAAGUGCUGUUUACCUGCAGUUCAGAACCUUUUUUGGCUCUCUUCUUGAACCACAAAUAAGCAAACAGGCUAAUGAGAAACCACAAUAAUGCAAUUGAUGGUGCUGAAACGGCCUGCAUCGUUUUUUCACAAGAAUCAUUUGACUUCCUUUUAGUAUCAGCUGCAUGAGAAUGAAAAGAAUAAAGAUUAACUCUAUAGGAAAAACCACCCCAUUUUCCAAAGGAAAUAUGACAAUACAUACAAGGGUAGCCCUUUUGGCACCUAAAACGUACCAAUAUCUAUGGUUUCUUUCCUGCAGGGAAGAGCUUAUUAACUACAGUCAAGAGCAGUGACAAGCAUAGGAAAGCUCUUAUGAAUCAAUAUUUGUGAUGACAAUCCUAUGAAGUAGUUACUGAGCAGAAAAAGGGUACCUAAUUCAUAUGCAUCAACACGAACAUACAGAUCAUGACUUUCACUCCUAUCAUAUCUAAUGUCUACUAAUUCCUUGUACCAUGUCAAACAACCAUAAUUUUUUCCGGGAAUUGCAAUGAUUGCGUAUGCAGAGCAUGAGCAAUUCCUCUUGCAUUGCACUUCGCAGUCUGCAAGACUCUUGCUCAUAUCCACCCAAACUGCAGCUGAACUUUCCGGAAGAGCUACAUUUUCCACCUUCACAAACCCUUCUCCAUGCUGGCACACCGAAGACGUAUGUAGCCGCUUCCUGACACAACCACCGGACCCAUCUCUCGUAGACCAUUCCAAUGGGUACUUGGGCUCGAACCCAGGUAAACAGGCACAUCCAAAUUCAUUUGCAUUGGCGAGUUCACACGUACUAUAAGCACCACAAAUUCCAUAAUAGUGGCACUGAAACUGAGGGGACUUCCAGUAUUCCUUCCACCGACCAUCACUUUCUCGCCAUGUUAAAGCCUUUACUACUCCUGAAUGAUCCACUAUUAUUCUUAUCAGAUAAGAAUCAUCAGGAACUGUGUAGAAAGAGUACUUUUCGUCUGGAUCAUUUACAAAAGUGCUUGUGUAUAAGCCCAUCUGACUUCUCCAUGGCCAAGGGGGAGAUCUACAAAUUGGUUUUUUACCAUUAUAGAAGAAGAAUUGUGGCGAGCCAUUUGGGUUGAUCCUAACUGAAAAGUCCCCGAACCCAGGGUCUUCGGCUGAUCUCCAUGAUGUUAGGAACCGAUCAAUUCCUAAUUUUCGAUCCAGCCCCAGUUUCAUUCCAGGAAGCAGGAUGUUCGUAGGAUAAUCGAAGCUUUGCCAUACUGUUUUUCUGCUUCUUUUCCUGACCAAUAUCAAAUUUCCUGAAUCCAAGAGUUGAGCUUCACAAGUAUCAUUUUCUUCCACUGAAACAUUUGUAGACCACACAGGAAGCUUUCGGUCAUCGUUACCAUAGAGAAUGAGGUUACCAUAUUGGUCUACAAAGAGAAAUCCUGAGGAACCAAUGAUUGGAUCGUUCCUGUUUGCAACCCACACCACAGUUUGUUCUGGUACUUUAUGGUACCAAAUUCCAAGAUAUCUAUU